RNAcentral lists this non-coding RNA (235 nucleotides) under Candidatus Nitrospira inopinata. RNAcentral also lists the same sequence under 1 other name. Lineage: Bacteria; Pseudomonadati; Nitrospirota; Nitrospiria; Nitrospirales; Nitrospiraceae. The record is from RNAcentral.
GACGGGCUCUCCUAUUGUGCUGCCUGACAUAGCCUCCGGUCAAAGGGAAGAGGGUGCAAAUCCCUCGCGGUCCCGCCGCUGUAAAUGGGGACGAAACCUGCGGUUGCCACUGGCGCAAGGUCUGUUACCUGCCGCUGUUGAAGGAGGAGGCAGCGAUGACGGAAACGGCGCCGGGAAGGUGCGGGGACUAGGGUGAACCAUGAGCCAGAAGACCUGGCUGGAGGAGUGACCGAUG